GAUUUAUACAGAAGAGGUGAGAGACAGGCUCGAAGACCCUCUGGCAACCUACAGCUCUGCAAGGUGCCAAUUCCUGCCCCAAAAGGGAUCUAUAAAUU
This 98-nucleotide non-coding RNA is filed under the name Cesiribacter andamanensis. RNAcentral describes it as "SAM-I sequence". It matches the Rfam family "SAM riboswitch aptamer (S box leader)". Rfam says of the family: The SAM riboswitch is found upstream of a number of genes which code for proteins involved in methionine or cysteine biosynthesis in Gram-positive bacteria. The record is from RNAcentral. RNAcentral also lists the same sequence under 1 other name. Lineage: Bacteria; Pseudomonadati; Bacteroidota; Cytophagia; Cytophagales; Cesiribacteraceae.